RNAcentral lists this long non-coding RNA (616 nucleotides) under Homo sapiens (human). Its description in RNAcentral is "non-protein coding lnc-TUSC3-4:1". The record is from RNAcentral. Lineage: Eukaryota; Metazoa; Chordata; Mammalia; Primates; Hominidae.
CAGGAACAGGAGUAGGCAUGCUGAAAAUCAAGAAAAUUGGAGAUGAGGACUUUGCAUUCAUCAGUAAAUGCAAAGACCCCAAGGUUCGCACCAUUCUCCUCCAGGGGAAUGGCAAAGAGACUCUCUCUAAAAUGGACCACAACAUCCAGGAUGCUGUGCAAGUUUAUUGCAACUUUCUUUUUGACCCGCAUUUGGUGCCAGGGGAUGGGGCCUCUGAGAUGGCUGUGAUCCAUGUCUUGACAGAAAAAUCCAAGGUCAUGACUGGUAUGAACAAUGGCCAUACAGGGCUGUUACCCGGGUUGUAGAGGUCAUCUCUCUUACCCUAAUCCAGAACCGUGGGGCCAUUAACAUCCAUCUGCUUAUUAUUAUAAUACCUCCCUUCAGACCAAGCACACCUAGAAGAACCAUGAGACCUGGGGUGUAAGUGGUGAGACAAGUAUUUUGGUGGAGAUGAAGGAACUGGGCAUAUAGGAGCCAUUGGCUGUGAAGCUGCAGACAUCAAGGGCAGCAAUGGAGACUGUAGUUCUGCUCUUAUGGAUUGAUGUCAUUACUACAGGCCACAAAAGGAAGGGCAAGGAGCAGGGCCAGCAAGGCAAGACUACUGGUGCUAGCAAAG